CUGUGGCGGAUGUUCCAAAACAUAGAACUGAUGUGGACUUUUGCAAGGAACUACUUGGCGAAACAGAUGACAUUAGAAACGUAUUCAAAUAUCAGAUGUCUUUACAAAAACAUCCUAGAAAUAAAUCCGUUACCACGUUUCUAGAAUCAAAUAUGACAAAACUGCAGACAUAUGUAAGUAAAAUGCACAAUCGUUUAAAACAUUUGUUGGUAUAUUUCGCUAGAUGCAAAAACUGAUUUUGAUGUCUCUAUUAAUAGAAAAAUCAGAAUAGCAGAAAUGUUAAUGAAAAAUAUACUUCUGGUAACAGAUCAGUGGAAAGAAGCUAUAAAUAACCAUUAAAAUACAAAUAUUGAUUGUUUGUUGAUAAUCGAGUGGCAAAUGUUUAUAACUUGUUUAGCAUGUGAACACAUUAUCCUUUAAUGCAAUAGGUAGGACCUCUAAGAGAGACCAUUCGGAAUGAAAAUUUGGCAAAUAUACUGCUACUUAAAUCUGAGUAAAAAUUAAAAAGGCACAUAUAUUUUGUCUUGCAACAGGCAACCUAUGGACCCCUCAAAGAUUAGUUUCAUGGGUACCAAUUGUGUAAAGAGCGUGGAACUGUCUAUACACGAGGAAUAAUAUUUUACGUCCCUAUUCUGACUGGAGGUGGAGCGUACUUUUACAACCUACACAGCAAAGCGGAUGUUUCGGAAAGACUCUUACUGCAGGUCGGACUCCAUUUCUUGCAACAAUUGAGAGUUAUUCCUAUAAUUUGAGAAAGAUUUCUUGUUGAAUUUUUUUUGGGUUAUAUUUUCUUUUUUUUAAUUUUCAUCUUUUUCCUUCUCUAAAACCCAAAUAACGUGUUGUGAGGAAGUAUGAUCAUUUGAUGUAGCGACAAAAUACUUCACAUUUAGGUAGGAUUUCUGCAAAGCUGUUAAAGAUGACCAAAUUAUACAACCAUUGACACUAAAGUGACCUUGAAGAUAAUUGGUCCCCAUCAAAUAGUCUUUCUUUCAGAUUAUUUGCCGUACAAGUAUAACCUCCUCAUAUUUUAGAGAAUGUCUAUUGCAUUUUGAACUACAUUAUUAUCAGAUUCAUUUGUUACAUCUACUUAUAAUUGUCUUUCUAUCUCAAUCAAAAGACACUUUUUAAAUUCAAACCAUAAACAGGACAUUAAAUAGUCAGUCGUGAAUCCAAUAUAAGUCUUCUGAGCAAUCCCUCAACAACACAUAUUUGUGCAAUCUAAAUUUUAAAUAUUGUGCUCUGUAUGUAUGGAGCAUACUAAUCAAAAGUGAAAGCGAAAAGGAAAAAUAAAACCUUUGUAUUUGCCAACAACUAUUACAUACAAGACUGUGACUACGCAUGUUUGAUCUUCUUUGAACCAAUCUGGUACGACACUACUUUCAAUCCUGUGGAAUAAACGAUUAGAAAGUUAGACGGUGUAGAUAUGUGCAACGCAACUCAAAUAAAUGAAGAAUAACUUUAACUAAUAAACAUGACCCAAGAUUGUUUACAGACAGCAAACUACCGCAGGUAACAGGGGAAUAAAUAUAUCGUCACUACAAGUCUUUUCCGAGCGGAAGUUACAUUUGCUAAAGUUGGACGUUUGUUUCGGAUGAGCGGGAUGUUUAAGUACAGAGCCACGUCUUGUAAGAAUAUGCACGUUCAAUCCAACGCCUCCUGUACCGAGAGUGAGACGCUCUCUGCACGUUAUGGACCAUUGCAAAAACUCGUAAAGGGGUCCGUAAGUGGCCUGUUCCAAUGCAAAGUUCUAAGUCGCUAUUCAAUAAACCCUUAUUCUCCUAAUUUUUUGCAGACAUCCUCUCUAUUAUUGGACCUUUCAGAUGUAUUUCUUUUUAAUUUGUUCUAGUCCUGAAAUACUUGCAUCUAGACGUUAAGCAAUCAACAACAAAUCGAUUUAUCAAAGCAUUUGCCUUAGAAAUGAAAACUAUUGGCAAUUUCAAAAUGCAUCCCAAAAUCAAUCAAAAAUGAUCAAACCAAGAAUAAUUAAAAAACUUAAAAGAUAUGGUGCCUGUGGAAAUGAAUGUUUGCUUUUUAGUAAAGCUUGGUACAAGGAGUACUAUUCAUUAGACAGAGUGCGAAAUGUGAUGAGACACGACGAUAUAAGCGGAGUCAUCAAAUGCACUCAAAACUUAAUUAAACAGAUAUUGGACCAAGACCCAAGAUUUUGUGUUUUCUUAUUUUAUAUUACAAAUGCUAAAAUCAUUGACUGUUUAGUAAAAGGGAAAAAAAUUACCAAUUCUGAUUAAAUCUUGUAGGAAAGUCACUUUUUGGGGGUCUUCUUGUCGGGGAUUGUCGGUUGCUGAACCACUGCAAUUUGAGGCAUAUUUCUGUCUGCUUAAUACGUUCACCAAUAAAAUAAAUAGAUGGACCGAUUCAAUAAGUCAAGUAAAAAAAUUGGCCUGACCUAAUACAACUUAAUUAAUUUAAAUAUCUCCUUUGAUCUUUAAACAAAUUUAACCUCAAUUUAUUAUCAUGAACAUCUCCAGGUGGUGUACUUUUAAAAAAAAGAUGUGGUAUGAUUGCCAAUGAGACAAUUCUAGGUCACCGUACGGCCUGCAACAAUGAGCAAAGCCCAUACCACAUAGUCAGGCCCCUAAUGACAAUGUAAAACAAUUCAAACGAGAACACUAACGGCCUAAUCGUUUUGGCUGUGCGGGAUAUACAAGUACGAAGCCACGUCUCGUAGAACGGGAACGUUAAAUCCGCCUCCUUUUGUACUGAGACGCUCUCUGGAUUAAAGAUCAAUGGAGAUUUUUGAACUUUUUAAGGUGUAUUGAGGUCAGGAUAUUUUUUUUAAAUGUGAAACUACUUAGUAUGUAAACUGGAUAUAAUGUUAUCUACCAGUAAUAAGCUAUACCAGGCACUGCUCUGCUUUCGUGCAAAUCCUCAGAUUGUGUGCUGAGACUAUUUAUAGUACAUCCGAAUCAUUCCAUUUGUUGUGGAGUUGAAAUUACAAUACAAGUGGACAGAUAAACUGAACGGCCGGUUAAUUCCUAGAAGCUUAUAAAAUAGACUGAAUUGUGACAUCGUGCCCUUAAAAAUUUGCUAAAAUGCCAAACAAACUGUUCUUAAAUUCAAAUUUUGGGAUACAGUGGCAUAAUCGUAUCAUAAAUUUCGAAGAUUUUAGCAAAUUUGGUUUCUUAGCUUCACACUGUAUUUUCUCAUAAAAUCACUUCCCUUUAUGUGAAUUGAUCCAUUUGCUAAUCUGGCAAAACAAAGUUAUCUUAAGCAAGGCCUGCACUUUUUCAACUCUUUGACCAACAGAUCUUACCAGAUUUUCAUGUUUUCUAUGAAGAUACCGAUCACGUUUGCCGACGAUUAAGUCUUUGUCGAUGUUUUGCACAGAUUUAUGUCUGAGGGUGCAAGUGAAUUUUACGUCAUCUGCUUUGGUAAUAUAUUUUAAAGCUUGGCUGAACUCUGACAUCGUGCCUUAAAAAGGAAAAUCACAAAAAUACUCAGGAAAUUCCAAUCGGAAAGUCCAUAAUCACAUGGCAAAAACAAAUCACAUCAAAAACAAAUGGACAAGAACUGUCAUAUUCCUGACUUGGUACAUGCAUUUUCAAAAUGUAGAACACGGUGGAUUAAACCUGGUUUUAUAGCGCUAAUCCUCUCACUUUGUUGACACGUUUUAUUUACAAAGUCAAUGAUGCGAGAACUAAACAGACAUAAUAAAUAAAAUAGUCAAAAUAUGGGUACAGCAGUCAUCAUCGUAGCAAUUUUAAAAGGAACAAUUUAACAGAACACAAACACAUCUAUCUACAAACACUUUCAUUGCGUCGCGUGUCUGACGUCAGUGAAUUGUAUACGUCAUAUAUUUUUGUCGUUCAAUGUUUAUACACAUAAUAUAAAAAUUUCAUAAGGGCAAUGUUAGCAAUCAUAAGUUUGUUAGAAUUAAUUUUAGAAAUAGUCCGAGAUUUAAAAUAGUCCAAAAGUUAUAUAGAAUUUAUAAGAAUCCACAAAUAGUUUAUUCCACUAAACGAUUGCAUAAUUUUGACGUUUGUGGUUCAACGUAUUUUGUAAUUCAUAAUAGAAAUAUAUCAAAAAGUUUGCAAAAAUAUAAGUUGAUGAUUUUUAAAAUUCAGAGUUUGGGAUAAAGUGGAAAUUUGUUUCAUAAGUUUUGAAGAUCGUGGAUGCUAAGCUCCACACCAUGCAGACAAUAACUUGUAUUACUUAGGUGUGAAGUUAGUAAAGAGAUCGAUUAUUUGAGGGAAAUUGGGCAGAGAAGAACACAAAACAACAGAUGAAUCAUUGACAAGGAUUUAAAUAGUAGGCAAACGCGAUCGAACAAUUCAGUCUAAUUAACUAUAUAUUGUGCUGUAUAUGUGUAUGGUAUCAUUAUGGGUUUUGAAUGUUAUGGUACGAUAGUACCCAUAGAAUUUGUGCUGUCUCCGUUGUUAAACGUGCUGACCGUACUGUGAAUUACUUGAACAUUUGGAGUUGUCUCCCAUUUACUUACUUUCGUUUUUGUUUACAUCAUGGACACCGCAUGGAAAUUUGUUGCUAUAUGUCAGCACAGUGUAAGUAAUAUACGACAUCAUACAUUUAUUUGAACUUCUCUUAUAUGGACAACAUCGGUCAUAUGCAUAAUCGGUAUAAAUUAUGCUUCCAAUGGACCAGGCAACCGAAAUGCUACCGUUCAGCAGCCGACCUACUUUGAACCUACGAAAACUUACCACAAACUAUUACCGGAGUAUACUUACCUUAUAAACAGUCCUACACAUUGAUUUAUUAUACUUACCUGAACUAUUUACCCGAUUUUUUGUGAAAUAUUGUGGCACAGUGGAACUCUGUUGAAAAAACAAUCUAUGGAACGCCAAUUUAACACUAACAGUUUACAAAAUAUAGACAUUUGCUUGAUUGUGUGUUUUAUAAAUGAAAACGAGUAUUUUAUGUUUACUUAUGAUGUUCUUUUUAUAUUUUGUAGCUUUUUACCAUAAAGUUUGAGGAAUAAAGCAUUUAAACUCAACUGGUUAGCUUACUGUUAUUGCAAGCGACUUUGUGACAGACAGUACAGUAAAAAGACUUUUACACAUAUAACAAGGAACCAGGUCAGGAAUACUAUACAGGAAGGGACUAUUUGUCAAGCCUACACAGUAUUUUUGGAAAAUCAAAAUGGCGGAUUCAGGAGACAAAAAACACUAAAAGAGAUAGGACUUUAACAGACAAAGGAGAAGACUUACAUCAGUCUAAAAAAAGCUGCAUAUUUAUCAAAACUACAAAAACUGUGGACCAAUAUACAAGCAUUGAUUUCUGAUAUAGAAAACCAAACAACGCUUGAAUCAUUACGUGUUUUAAACGAUAAAUUAAAUUCCAUAUAUGUCAAAUAUACAGCCACCUCACAAGAAUAUACAAACUUUUUAGUACGUACAAAAACUAACGAGAGUCAAAAGGAAGCUGAAUACCUGAUGGAUGUCAUCAAAUCUCACAAUAUUGUAAUAGACAGUGCUCUGAAGCAAAUAUUUAUGAAAACUAAAACAUUCACUUUGCAAUCAAAAGCAUCCUCGCAUAGAUCAGGUAGGAGCAGUGCUAAUUCAAAGAGAAGUUCCAUUUUAGUUCAAAAACGUGCGGAACUUGAGGCAUCAAAGACAAAAUUAAAGUUUGCCGAAGAAGAGGCAAAGAUACACAAACAAAAGGCUAUGAUUGAGGAACAGCAGGAGUUAUCAAAUGCUAAAGUGUCUAGACAAAAAGCAGAGUUACAGGUUGACUUAAAUAUGCUUGUUCAAAAGAAGGAAACCGAAGCAGCCAAAGUCGAGCUGGAAGUUUACGAGGCUGAAGAAGAAGUUCGUAGUGGUCUAGCACUUAGUGAGUACGAUGUCAACCAAGAUAUUAAUGUUGUUGAACGUACGAAUAAAUUUGUUGAGGAGCAAGUGAAAAAUACUGUAAAUCAGCCUACAGAAAGAGAGGAUUUAGUCACACCUAUUCAAAGACAGUAUCCUGACUUCGUACCAACUCCACGUAAUUUGAUGCAUACUGCUCGUGUUCCACCUGCAAACACAGAACAAUCAAUCACUUCAGAGUUUACCAGAUUCUUACUCAAGAAGGAUCUACUACUGACCCGUCUCAGUAGUUUUAACGACAGACCAGAAUUUUACACACUAUGGAAGUCUACAUUUCUUAGUAUUAUGCAAGAGCUAAGUGUUAACACCAGUGAGGAACUAGAUCUUUUGAUAAAGUGGUUAGGACCGGAAUCCAGUAAAAAUGCAACAAGUAUUAGAGCUUCAAAUCACAGUGAUCCACAAAGAGGACUCAAAAGAAUCUGGGAGCGCUUAGACGAAAGAUAUGGGAGUCCAGAAUUAGUAGAAGCUACACUAAAGUCUAAAUUGAAGAACUUUCCUAAACUAACAAACAAAGACCAUAAAAAACUUUAUGAAUUAGCAGAUAUUUUGGGUGAAAUUGAAUCUACUAAAUGCAAUGAAAAGUACAGCUCAUCAUUAGCUUACUUCGAUUCUUCUACAGGAGUUCUGCCAAUCGUUAACAAGCUUCCUUAUGGGAUUCAAGAGAAGUGGACCAAUCAUGCAGUGAUAUAUAAAAAGAAGAAUGAAGUCACCUUUCCACCUUUCUCUGUAUUUGUGGAAUUCAUCAGAGACAUGAGCAGGAUUAAAAAUGACCCUUCUUUCUUCUACGAGACGACAAAUCAGCAUGAUAAAACAAGUAGGACGUUGCCAAGGAGCACAGCUGACAGGUCCUUUAUUUCAACUAGAAAAACAGAUGUCUUACCGAACUCAGAUUUGAAUAACAACAGUAUUGAGAAGAAAUGCUCAUUUCAUAAAACGGGCGGUCAUACACUGAACAAUUGUCGGGCAUUUAAAGCCAUGUCUAUAAGUGAACGUAGGAAGCUAUUAAAGGAGAACGGGAUAUGUUUCAGGUGCUGUGGCACGAGCAACCACAUGAAGAAAGAUUGUAAGGAGAGUAUAAAAUGCUCAGACUGUGGAAGUGAAAGACACGCAACAGCAUUACAUAUAGAAAAAGGAACACAAUUGUCUUCUCCUGUUUCCAAUCACGAAGGGGAGAUUGAAAAAACAGAUGUGUCAUCCAGAUGUACGCAAAUAUGUGGUGAGGGUUUCAGUGGGAAAUCGUGUGCAAAGACAUUGCUCGUAGAUGUUUACCCAGAUGGUAAGCCAGAAAAUGCUAUAAGGACAUAUGCAAUUCUAGACGACCAAAGUAACAGGUCGCUAGCCAGGUCUACAUUUUUUGACAUUUUCGGAUUGAACGGAAGUUCUAUGGAAUACACUUUAUCUACAUGUUCAGGAAGUACUGUCAACACAGGAAGGAGAGCUUGUAACUUUAUUGUGGAGUCAUUAGAUAGACAAUCAAAGUUAGAACUCCCAACAUUGAUAGAAUGCAACCAAAUACCUGAUCAGAAGGACGAAAUUGCUACAAAGGAGGUAGCACAGUCAUACGCUCAUUUACAUGACAUUUGUGGAUUUAUUCCGAGUUUGGAUGAAACUGCAUCAACCCUUCUGUUGAUUGGAAGGGAUUUACCAGAGGCGUAUCACGUGUUUGAUCAACGCAUUGGUCAUAGGAAAUCUCCAUACGCCCAGAAAUUACCAUUAGGAUGGGUAAUUGUUGGAGAGGCAUGCUUGGGGAAAGUGCAUGCUCCAGAAGUAGUAAAUGUCAACAAAACAUUCGUAUCUGGAACCAGCAGGGAGUCGAUCUUCAAGGCUUGUCCAAACAACAUUAAAGUUAUGGAAGAAACACCAAGCGACCUCGUUUUAAACGACCAAGAUGAUUCAUUUGGAAUGACCAUAUUUGAAAGAACAAAGGAAGACAACGAAACAGGAACGUCAGUAGAAGACAGAACGUUUUUGGAAAUAAUGAACAAAGAUAUGCACAAGGAUAAGAACGAUCAUUGGAUAGCACCACUUCCUUUUCGAUCUCCACGACCUGUUUUACAGAAUAAUCGUGCACAUGCUUUAUUCAGAGCAAGAAACCUAGAUAGAACACUACAAAGGGACGUUCUUAAGAAAUACCAGUUCACUGAAUUCAUGCAAGGAAUACUAGAACAAGGACAUGCAGAGUUAGCGCCACCUGUAACAGAACACGAAGAGUGCUGGUAUCUUCCAGUUUUUGGUGUAUAUCACCCGAGAAAAAAGGACAAGGUGCGCAUAGUUUUUGAUUCUUCAUCGAAGUACAAGGGGAUAUCAUUGAACGAUGUACUCCUCACAGGUCCGGAUCUUACAAACAACUUGUUGGGUGUACUUCUUCGCUUUAGAAAGGAGCCUAUUGCCAUUACUGCAGAUAUACAGCAAAUGUUUUAUUGCUUCCGAGUGACAGAGACACAUAGAAAUUUCUUACGAUUCAUAUGGUACAAGGAUAAUGAUCCCAAUCAGGAACUUAUAGACUAUCGAAUGACGGUACAUGUGUUCGGCAAUUCGCCAUCGCCAGCAGUUGCCACAUUUGGGCUGAGAAGAACUGCUGAGAUCUCCGAAACUGAAUUUGGGAAAGAUGUUAAAGAUUAUGUCGUUCGGAACUUCUACGUAGACGACGGGUUAAAUUCACUACCAAAUAGUUCUCAGGCUAUUGACCUCAUGAGGCGAACACAAGAGGCGCUCAAGACGAACGGCGAUCUAAGGUUGCAUAAAAUUGCCUCAAACGACGUCACAGUUAUGUCUGCAUUCUCUAAUGAUGACUUAGCUAAAGAUUUGAAGGACAUUAAAUUAGAACCGGAAAACUUACCUGUACAAAGAAGUCUAGGCCUAUGCUGGAAUCUGGCCUCUGAUACAUUCACGUUUGAUGUAUCAACCGAUGAAAAACCCUACACGAGACGAGGAAUAUUAUCUGUUGUGAACAGCUUGUUUGAUCCUAUAGGAUUUUUGGCACCAAUAACGGUACAAGGGAAAAUGUUUCUGCGUAAGCUUAUUUCAGGAACUAAGGAUUGGGAUGAGCCGUUACCGGAAGAACAUCGUACAGAGUGGGAAACAUGGCGAGACUCAUUAAAAGAUCUCCGAUGUUUACAAAUUCCGCGUACAUAUGCAACGGAAGGAUUGUCAGCAGCUGUAAAGAAAGAGCUACACAUUUUUUGCGACGCAUCUGAACAAGUUAUAGCUGCAGUUGCUUAUUUGAGAACAGAGUCUAGUAGUGCAGUCACGGAAGUCAAGUUUGUCAUUGGAAAGGCUAAAGUGUCACCGAUACACAGCCAUACUAUUCCCCGCCUAGAAUUGUGCGCGGCUGUUCUAGCGACUGAACUGUAUGCAAUAAUUAAGAAUCAGCUAGACACAUAUAUCGACAAAGCUGUAUUCUAUUCGGAUAGUAAAGUGGUAUUGGGAUAUAUCCACAACCAAAGUAGAAGAUUUUUCAAGUACGUCAGUAAUAGAGUGGAACGGAUCAGGAGUGUGUCGGCGCCUGAUCAAUGGACUUAUAUUCGCACGGACUUAAACCCUGCAGACUAUGCUACUAGGCCUUCACAUGCCUCGCAGAUCAAGAACAGUUCCUGGCUGAUUGGACCAGAUUUUUUGACUAGGAAGGAUUUAGAUAAAGGAACUUCAUCACAGCACAUUAUACCAGACUUUCCGUUGGAAAAUACAGACACUGAUAAAGAGAUAAGACCAUUAGUUACAGUUAGCAAAACGAAUGUAAAUGACAUUGCAAAACUAGGAUCGAAUCGCUUCGAAAGAUUUUCAUCAUGGAUGGCAUUAGUCAGAGCAAUCGCAAGACUGAAGCACUUUCUUUCAACCGUUUUCUCAGGAACCUUUCAUGGAUGGCAUAGUUGUGUAGACUGCAAAUCCGUUCAUAACUUUGAAGAAGCUCAGAAAUUCAUUAUCCGUGUCGUUCAACGUGAAGCAUACGAUAGUGAACUUUCUUGUCUAAAGGAAAAUUUGUGUGUGUCUAAGACCAGUUCAAUACUUACCUUGAAUCCUGUUCUUGACAAUGAUGGAUUACUUCGUGUAGGAGGCAGACUGAGUAGGGCUGAUAUCAGUUCUAAUGAAAAGAAUCCCAUUAUUAUACCAGGAAAGCACUAUCUUGCUACCCUUAUAGUUAGAUAUUGUCACGAGUUGGUCUUCCAUCAAGGGAGACACUUCACCGAAGGUGCUGUACGAAGCGCUGGAUUUUGGAUAGUUGGAGGAAAGCGAGUCAUAUCGUCUGUAAUUUUUCAAUGUUUCAAAUGCCGCAAACUUCGAGCAAGAGUGCAAAUUCAACAAAUGUCAGACCUACCAGUAGACCGUCUCACGCCAGCUUCUCCGUUUACGUUCGUUGGCUUGGAUGUAUUUGGCCCUUGGAGUGUAGUAGCAAGACGAACAAGAGGAGGUUUAUCUCAUAAUAAAUGUUGGGCGGUUCUUUUCACCUGUUUGACCAUACGAGCUAUACAUAUAGAAGUGAUUAAUGACAUGAGUUCUUCUUCGUUCAUAAAUGCGCUAAGGAGAUUUAUUGCUAUUCGUGGACAUGUCAAGGUAUUUCGCUCAGACAAUGGAACGAAUUUUGUCGGAUCAACAAAUAGUUUGAAAAUAGAUGUCAUAAAUAUUGAACAUGGCCCAGUGAAAGAUUUUCUGCUUACAAAGGGAAGUGUUUGGAUUUUCAACCCGCCACACUCCUCACACAUGGGAGGAGUGUGGGAAAGGAUGAUAGGGACAACUAGAAGAAUCUUGGAUUCAAUUAUGUUGGAAACAAAAGCAAAGGAUAUAACCAUAGAAGUUAUAACUACUCUGAUGGCUGAAGUAUGUAGCAUUGUUAACGCUCGCCCGAUUGUUUCAGUUUCAAGUGAUCCCGAGUCUCCAGAAAUCUUGUCACCAUCAGCUCUAUUGACUCACAAGACGGAAUCGGCGGAUGACUCCUUCAGCAACCUUGACAUCACCGACAUGUACAAGGCCCAAUGGAAACGGGUUCAAGUGAUGGCUGAAAUGUUCUGGAAUAAGUGGCGACGGGAGUAUCUACAGACACUACAAACUAGGCGCAAAUGGCAAUCUGCUACUCCGAAUCUUUCAGAAAACGAUGUUGUCCUUCUUAAGGAUAAAAGCGCCCAUAGGAAUGAAUGGCCAGUCGGAAUAGUAACGCACAUCUUUCCGAGUGAAGAUAAGAUGGUAAGAAAAACUGAAGUUCGAAUUAUGAAGGAUGGAAAACAAACGACUUACCUGCGUCCGAUUACUGAAUUGGUGUUACUGCAUUCUGCAUCUCAGUGA
This 11114-nucleotide small RNA is filed under the name Mytilus galloprovincialis (Mediterranean mussel). The record is from RNAcentral. Lineage: Eukaryota; Metazoa; Mollusca; Bivalvia; Mytilida; Mytilidae.